This 384-nucleotide ribosomal RNA is filed under the name uncultured bacterium. RNAcentral's name for it is "bacterial SSU rRNA". It matches the Rfam family "Bacterial small subunit ribosomal RNA", at positions 29 to 416 of the family's 1533-position model. The record is from RNAcentral.
AUUGAACGCUGGCGGCAUGCCUUACACAUGCAAGUCGAACGGUAACAGGUCUUCGGAUGCUGACGAGUGGCGAACGGGUGAGUAAUACAUCGGAACGUGCCCGAUCGUGGGGGAUAACGCAGCGAAAGCUGUGCUAAUACCGCAUACGAUCUACGGAUGAAAGCGGGGGAUCGCAAGACCUCGCGCGGACGGAGCGGCCGAUGGCAGAUUAGGUAGUUGGUGGGAUAAAAGCUUACCAAGCCGACGAUCUGUAGCUGGUCUGAGAGGACGACCAGCCACACUGGGACUGAGACACGGCCCAGACUCCUACGGGAGGCAGCAGUGGGGAAUUUUGGACAAUGGGCGAAAGCCUGAUCCAGCCAUGCCGCGUGCAGGAUGAAGGCC